This is a long non-coding RNA of Amphibalanus amphitrite, 1100 nucleotides long. RefSeq lists it as uncharacterized. The transcript is spliced from 3 exons. NCBI's taxonomy places the organism in Eukaryota, Metazoa, Arthropoda, Thecostraca, Balanomorpha, Balanidae. The record is from RefSeq and is a predicted model, not a curated record.
GGGCCUCGCGGCGCGCCACGCGUGUUGUGUUGUUGUUCGUGGUUGGAGCGGGGCGUCGAUGUGGUGUGGUGUUGAAUUAUACCCUAGGUUCCAUGGAGAGUCCACCACCAUCACCCGGACUAGAACUAAAGGUGGAGCCGGACUCUGGACCGGAAUCAGUGUCAGAGCCGCAGCCAGAUGCCGCCCCAGAGUGUGACACAGACCCGGAGCCGGGGCCGGAGCGGCGCUGCGCCGUCUGCGGCUGCCCGCUGCCGGCCGGCGGUCCGCCGCCGCAGGAGCUGUUCGACCUGCGCCUGUCGGGCGGCCGGCCGGCGGCGUCCGCGGUGCUGCCGCUGCGCCGGCUCGAUGUCACCAGCCCGUGGCGGCUCUGCGCUCCCCUGCACGGCGCUGCUCGAGAGCCGAGAGCGGCUGCGCGCCGCCGCGGCGAUCGGUGCCGCACGCGCUGAGCUGGAUGACUGGGUGGCGAGGGUGCUCUCCGGGGCCGGAGGUGCAGCCUCCGCCGACAGUGUGGAGCCGGCAGGACAGGGUGUGAGUGGGUGUGACAGAACAGGGGUCUCGGCGGGCUCCUCGAGUGCGCCGACGGUGGUAACAGACUCUGCAGAGGCAGCGAAUAGGACAGAGCACCCAGCUACCGCAGCUGACGAGUGUGACAGAACAGUGGCCGGUAAACAUGGUGCAGAUGCGUCCGAAACGGCGGAGAGCGGAACUCCGUGCGACAGACCGCGUGCUUCGCCUGACGGAACGGCGGGCAGGGCCGCCAGUGCUGGGGACUUGACCGACAGACCACAGGACAGUGCGGAUCCACUCGGCCCAGCAUCCGACUGCGGCAAUCCGUCUGCCAGUACUGGACAGUCGGUAGUGGGCGGCGCGGAACCCUGCGAUCAGACGGAUGGACCGGAGCAGGGCCCAUCCUUAGAGUCCGUCCGAGGAGCGUCUAUGGAGGAGGCCUCGCUGGAGCAGCAGCUGGCGGACGUGGAACGCCAGCUGAUGGACCGAGUCGCCUCAGCGCCCGGCCCCGCCGGCUCCGAUCAGGAUCUCGUGACUCUCAACUUCGUCGACACUGACCUGGAUGGUAAGUAAAAAGGCACCAAUGGCAUUGC